UACGGAGGAUCCGAGCGUUAUCCGGAUUUAUUGGGUUUAAAGGGUGCGCAGGCGGGGGAUUAAGUCGGCGGUGAAAUUUUGCAGCUCAACUGUAAAAGUGCCUUCGAAACUGGUUUCCUUGAGUGUAGAUGAAGUAGGCGGAAUUUGUGGUGUAGCGGUGAAAUGCUUAGAUAUCACGCAGAACUCCGAUUGCGAAGGCAGCUUACUAAGCUACAACUGACACUGAAGCACGAAAGCGUGGGGAUCAAACAGGAUUAGAUACCCCUGUAGU
Molecule: ribosomal RNA, 271 nt
Filed under: uncultured prokaryote
Description: partial 16S ribosomal RNA
Rfam family: Bacterial small subunit ribosomal RNA
Source: RNAcentral